UUCGAUAUGAGGCUUUGGAAAUAGGUUUUGUACCGGGUUCAAGGUCGAUAUAAAAUUAAAUUUCACGCUCUGGGGGUAGGCGAGAAAGUUCUUCAGGAAAUACGCCAAGAAAUUUAUUAACAAUAGAAAUAUCAUUCAAAUCUGACGUAUUUUUGUUUAAAUCUGUGACAUGAGCUAAGAAAGAUUAACAUCCGUUUUUCAAUAAACGAAUAGCUUUAUGGCUUGAGAUGACAGUGAUUGAUUUUAAUGGUUUGGUUGCUUGAAUUCGCAUAAUAGGUAGGUUAGGAAUAUGAAAGCUAACAACCUUACGAAAAUAUUCAAUUUUUGAGUGAUGAGUAGUUAACCAAUCAAUCCCUAGAAUCACAUCAAAUGCAAGUAUUUUCAAUGAAAUAAGAUUGACAGGUAAUGUGAGGGUACCGAUUUGAACCAAACAAGACUUAUAAAUGGUGGAUGUAAUGAAGGUUUCUCCCAACGGAGUUUCCACAGAUAAGUCAAAUUCUAAUUUCUCCGGUGUCAAAUUUAAUCGUUGAACGCAAGUAGGAGAAAUAAAAGAAUGGGUAGAACCGGUAUCAAAUAAGGUAUAGACUUCGCUAGAGUUUAUGAUAAGCUUACCCGUGAUGACCUCGUUCGGGUUCCUUGCUUUCUGGGAGGUCACAACAAACGCUCACCCUUGAACUACUGAUUUUGACUUGUCUGGGACGGUAUUUUGUGUCACCGUUCCAACUGGACUUGUCUUCGGUGCACGACAAAAUUGGGC
This 757-nucleotide long non-coding RNA is filed under the name Panax ginseng (ginseng). RNAcentral describes it as "long non-coding RNA (PGIN_LNC019168)". Lineage: Eukaryota; Viridiplantae; Streptophyta; Magnoliopsida; Apiales; Araliaceae. The record is from RNAcentral.